RNAcentral lists this long non-coding RNA (214 nucleotides) under Carica papaya (papaya). RNAcentral's name for it is "long non-coding RNA (CPAP_LNC009542)". The record is from RNAcentral. Lineage: Eukaryota; Viridiplantae; Streptophyta; Magnoliopsida; Brassicales; Caricaceae.
GGAAUAAAUUCUUCGAAAGAAAUACGAGACAUGGAAAAAAUAAAGGAAACUAUAAAGUAUCUAGUAUCUACUCGCAGCCUUCUUACGGAUCAGGCUCGGGAACCAGGUCCUCCUGAUCUGAAAUUGUUAAAUAAGGGGUGAGCUACACUAACCCAGUAAGGACAUCACACUAUAUCGCCGGCACAGAAGCAAAGGUUGGUAGAAAACCAAAAAG